GCCCCAAUAGCUCAGCUGGUAGAGCACAUCAUUCGUAAUGAUGGGGUCGGCGGUUCGAGUCCGUCUUGGGGCACCA
RNAcentral lists this transfer RNA (76 nucleotides) under Pseudotabrizicola sp. RNAcentral's name for it is "tRNA-Thr". It matches the Rfam family "tRNA". Rfam says of the family: Transfer RNA (tRNA) molecules are approximately 80 nucleotides in length. The record is from RNAcentral. Lineage: Bacteria; Pseudomonadati; Pseudomonadota; Alphaproteobacteria; Rhodobacterales; Paracoccaceae.